This is a long non-coding RNA of Numida meleagris (helmeted guineafowl), 1118 nucleotides long. The record is from Ensembl. Lineage: Eukaryota; Metazoa; Chordata; Aves; Galliformes; Numididae.
CUAGUACCGGCAUUAGGGCACUCAAAUACCACUUCUCCAAGGGCAGAGGAAAAUUGCAGGGCUAAGGAAUGCCAGUGCCUGUAACCAGCAGCACAUAAGGCAAGCAUUAUAUCCAGCUGCUUUUAAUUCUCUGACUGAAAUGACCAAAACCUCAUUCGUAACAUGGGAAGCCUGUAGCAGGAAUCCAGGAGACCCUGAAGCUUGAAGUAAGACCUUAGAAUGUCUCAACAAAUAAGUGUUGAUGAGAACUGAUUUCUCUGCAGGAGAAUAGCAGCAACAAUUUCCUCAUGUUCUUGACUGUUCAUAUAUGCAUUCCAAGGAAUCCAAAUCCUUUCUGCAUCUUUCCUAAACACUACGUGGAAAAAUGCAUUCAGAGACGGAUGGGCUUCUCUAUCAACAUGGACUUUUUGUCUCAUCUCAGCUGCAAGCUGUUCAAGCCACUUUCCAGUAAGACCAUCAGACCUCUCAGCUGGCACCGCUUUCACUCAUCUUCUACAUCCUCUACUCCUGUUCCAGUGUCUCUGGUCUAUUAUUUAAUUUGGCAGAAAAACACACUCGACUGGCCCAAAUACAUUUUCUGGCCUCCCAAGCUUUGCUGGCUGCCAGAAUGCUGGCAGGAGUUACAGCACUGUGGCAAUGCACUGCACUCCUGUAAACUUCCUGUCUGCAAGAUGAUUUGUUCAGACCAUUCUGCCUCCCUGCCCUUUAGGAGACGAAAUGAAUCCCGGGAACUUCUGGUCAGGCAGAGACUGUGAAAAUUUCGCUUUGUGCUCUGAGGGGACUCGUUGUUGUGACUUAAAUUGAAGAGACGGGAAUGCACUUCUCAAGGAGGCACCCAGAUCAUCACUCACAUUUCAGCACAUGUAGGAAGAAGUGGAGGAAACAGUUACCAGAGAUAUCUGAGUAAUGGUGUUAAUCACACAGACCAAAGAGGUGGGAAGAAAGAUUCAGCACAUCCAGAACUGGAAAGUGAGCUGCAGCAGGGAACAUCAGCAAGGACCAAAUAUUUCAAAGAGAAGCUGCCCUCUUUACUGCUUUGUAAAGAAAAUAUAUAUGGUUGAUCCAAAUGUGAAUUAUAUUUAUAUAUAUAGCAGAUGAAUGUAGCAUUUGUCACUGAG